Acanthosepion pharaonis is the source of this 98-nucleotide non-coding RNA. NCBI's taxonomy places the organism in Eukaryota, Metazoa, Mollusca, Cephalopoda, Sepiida, Sepiidae. The record is from the annotation of a GenBank genome assembly.
UUGAAACCCCAGUUCCUGUGCGAUCACCGCAGUUAAGCAACGUCGAGCCUGGUCAUUACCUAGAUGGUUGACCGCUUGAGAAUACCAGGUGCUGCAAG